This 44-nucleotide transfer RNA is filed under the name Alytes cisternasii (Iberian midwife toad). Its description in RNAcentral is "partial tRNA-Leu". Lineage: Eukaryota; Metazoa; Chordata; Amphibia; Anura; Alytidae. The record is from RNAcentral.
GACCUAAGCCCUUUAAAUCAGGGGUUCAAAUCCCCUCGCUAACU